Molecule: non-coding RNA, 774 nt
Organism: Poecilia reticulata (guppy)
Lineage: Eukaryota; Metazoa; Chordata; Actinopteri; Cyprinodontiformes; Poeciliidae
Source: RefSeq, a predicted model, not a curated record
AAGUGGAUUCAGUUAUUCUUAAACGAUUGUUCCGUGUUAUUUUCCCUUUGCGCUCUGAACUARAAUGAMUAWCACCUACACCUCUAGGUUUCAUUUUGUAAACGGAGUGGCACAUAGCCGCGGCCAGCAUUGUGCGCAYGSGCAAAAUUUCCGGAGUCCGUAGAAUCUGUGGGAUUUACAAAAAUYGGGGACAACAGAUUACUGAGCCGAAUGKAAAUAUUUUCUCCAACACGGAUCAUGACCAGAAAACAUCAAAGUGGCGUCACUUUGUGACUUCUGUUUCCGGCUUCUCUUGGGACUUCUACCACCACCCUGACCACUGGAGCCACGUUUCUGUAUUUUAUUGAAAAAUAAUGGGAUCUACCUUGUUUGAAAUAAACUAAGAACGGUCACGGUCCUGAUCAUUCAAUAAAACCAGCACAACGCAGAGAGGAUCCGGUUACACAACYGUUCGCAGGUGAUCAACAGGGCUGACAUCAGGUCCGGUAAAUGGGGAAUAAGCAGGUCAAACGUCAGACGUACCCUGGCUGACCCUUUCAAUACAUCGCACAGGAGACUUCAUGAGGGAAUCCAAUUUGAUCCACUGGGUCCUCAGCAGCUAGUAAAAGUCAACAAGCCGUCACUCAUAUUUCCCCUUUUCCCCUUCACAUGCCUGCAUAGUCGACUUCCCUCUCAGCUUUCUUUCUGUCUUUCCCUUGUACUUGACAUCYCACUUUCUCUUCAGAACCUAUACUUAAUGAUAAGUAAAUAUGUUUUAAAUACAAACAAAAAAUA